UGGGGAAUUUUGGACAAUGGGCGAAAGCCUGAUCCAGCAAUGCCGCGUGUGUGAAGAAGGCCUUCGGGUUGUAAAGCACUUUUGUCCGGAAAGAAAUGGCUCUGGUUAAUACCUGGGGUCGAUGACGGUACCGGAAGAAUAAGGACCGGCUAACUACGUGCCAGCAGCCGCGGUAAUACGUAGGGUCCAAGCGUUAAUCGGAAUUACUGGGCGUAAAGCGUGCGCAGGCGGUUGUGCAAGACCGAUGUGAAAUCCCCGAGCUUAACUUGGGAAUUGCAUUGGUGACUGCACGGCUAGAGUGUGUCAGAGGGGGGUAGAAUUCCACGUGUAGCAGUGAAAUGCGUAGAGAUGUGGAGGAAUACCGAUGGCGAAGGCAGCCCCCUGGGAUAACACUGACGCUCAUGCACGAAAGCGUGGGGAGCAAACAGA
This 429-nucleotide ribosomal RNA is filed under the name Bacillota bacterium. Its description in RNAcentral is "Firmicutes bacterium partial 16S ribosomal RNA". It matches the Rfam family "Bacterial small subunit ribosomal RNA", at positions 355 to 776 of the family's 1533-position model. Lineage: Bacteria; Bacillati; Bacillota. The record is from RNAcentral.